Molecule: transfer RNA, 66 nt
Filed under: Bathyprion danae (fangtooth smooth-head)
Lineage: Eukaryota; Metazoa; Chordata; Actinopteri; Alepocephaliformes; Alepocephalidae
Description: tRNA-Cys
Source: RNAcentral
AGCCCCGUGGUGGAGACCACGUCAGAUUGCAAAUCUGAAGAGGCCGACUAUAAUCGGCCGGGGCUU